Hyposmocoma kahamanoa is the source of this 390-nucleotide long non-coding RNA. RefSeq lists it as uncharacterized. Lineage: Eukaryota; Metazoa; Arthropoda; Insecta; Lepidoptera; Cosmopterigidae. The transcript is spliced from 3 exons. The record is from RefSeq and is a predicted model, not a curated record.
GGAGCUUCCCCGCACGACGUACCAUUCCUUUCCAUUACGUCUGGUGCACCCUGGACUACACUCGGAGGAAUUUCGGCCAAAGGGUGUCAUGUAACGAUGUUUCCGAGGCCGGCUACCGGACACCCACAUUGCGUCACACGUCGCAGACAAUACUUGUGACGAAUGUCGACCAUGUGAAACUCAAAUCAAAGAACUUCCUUGGAAUAAAUAACACACAUUUCUCCGUGAGGGUUGCACAUAGAAAUACAUCCACUAUCAGAAGAUAUUAUUUAAAAAAAACACCACGCUUUAUAAAAAGAUAUUCAUCACAGGAACCCAGCAAUAAAUAAAUAUUAAAAAUUGCCCACGAACACUUUUUAAAAUUUCAAGGAAAACCUACCUAACAAAAAU